RNAcentral lists this transfer RNA (42 nucleotides) under Radula myriopoda. Its description in RNAcentral is "partial tRNA-Phe". It matches the Rfam family "tRNA", at positions 1 to 41 of the family's 71-position model. Rfam says of the family: Transfer RNA (tRNA) molecules are approximately 80 nucleotides in length. Their secondary structure includes four short double-helical elements and three loops (D, anti-codon, and T loops). The record is from RNAcentral. Lineage: Eukaryota; Viridiplantae; Streptophyta; Jungermanniopsida; Radulales; Radulaceae.
GCCGGAAUAGCUCAGUUGGUAGAGCAGGGGACUGAAAAUCCC